This 497-nucleotide ribosomal RNA is filed under the name uncultured bacterium. Its description in RNAcentral is "partial 16S ribosomal RNA". It matches the Rfam family "Bacterial small subunit ribosomal RNA", at positions 28 to 507 of the family's 1533-position model. The record is from RNAcentral.
GACGAACGCUGGCGGCGUGCCUAAUACAUGCAAGUUGAGCGCUGAAGGUUGGUACUUGUACCGACUGGAUGAGCAGCGAACGGGUGAGUAACGCGUGGGGAAUCUGCCUUUGAGCGGGGGACAACAUUUGGAAACGAAUGCUAAUACCGCAUAAAAACUUUAAACACAAGUUUUAAGUUUGAAAGAUGCAAUUGCAUCACUCAAAGAUGAUCCCGCGUUGUAUUAGCUAGUUGGUGAGGUAAAGGCUCACCAAGGCGAUGAUACAUAGCCGACCUGAGAGGGUGAUCGGCCACAUUGGGACUGAGACACGGCCCAAACUCCUACGGGAGGCAGCAGUAGGGAAUCUUCGGCAAUGGACGAAAGUCUGACCGAGCAACGCCGCGUGAGUGAAGAAGGGUUUCGGAUCGUAAAACUCUGUUGGUAGAGAAGAACGUUGGUGAGAGUGGAAAGCUCAUCAAGUGACGGUAACUACCCAGAAAGGGACGGCUGACUACGUG